This 254-nucleotide ribosomal RNA is filed under the name uncultured bacterium. Its description in RNAcentral is "partial 16S ribosomal RNA". It matches the Rfam family "Bacterial small subunit ribosomal RNA", at positions 524 to 776 of the family's 1533-position model. The record is from RNAcentral.
UACGUAGGGUGCGAGCGUUGUCCGGAAUUAUUGGGCGUAAAGAGCUCGUAGGCGGUGUGUCACGUCGGCCGUGAAAACCUGCAGCUUAACUGUGGGCGUGCGGUCGAUACGGGCAUCACUGGAGUUCGGCAGGGGAGACUGGAAUUCCUGGUGUAGCGGUGAAAUGCGUAGAUAUCUGGAGGAACACCGGUGGCGAAGGCGGCAUCCUGGACCAAUUCUGACGCUGAGGAGCGAAAGCCAGGGGAGCAAACGGG